CCUACGGGUGGCAGCAGUGAGGAAUAUUGGUCAAUGGACGAGAGUCUGAACCAGCCAAGUAGCGUGAAGGAUGACUGCCCUAUGGGUUGUAAACUUCUUUUAUAUGGGAAUAAAACGUUCCACGUGUGGGAUUUUGUAUGUACCAUAUGAAUAAGGAUCGGCUAACUCCGUGCCAGCAGCCGCGGUAAUACGGAGGCUCCGAGCGUUAUCCGGAUUUAUUGGGUUUAAAGGGAGCGUAGGUGGAUUGUUAAGUCAGUUGUGAAAGUUUGCGGCUCAACCGUAAAAUUGCAGUUGAAACUGGCAGUCUUGAGUACAGUAGAGGUGGGCGGAAUUCGUGGUGUAGCGGUCAAAUGCUUAGAUAUCACGAAGAACUCCGAUUGCGAAGGCAGUUCACUGGACUGCAACUGACACUGAGGCUCGAAAGUGUGGGUAUCAAACAGGAUUAGAUACCCUUGUAGUC
Molecule: ribosomal RNA, 460 nt
Filed under: uncultured bacterium
Lineage: Bacteria
Description: partial 16S ribosomal RNA
Rfam family: Bacterial small subunit ribosomal RNA
Source: RNAcentral